This is an RNA transcript of Peromyscus maniculatus bairdii (prairie deer mouse), 4907 nucleotides long. It is a transcript of the gene named NmrA like redox sensor 1, with no coding region annotated. NCBI's taxonomy places the organism in Eukaryota, Metazoa, Chordata, Mammalia, Rodentia, Cricetidae. The record is from RefSeq and is a predicted model, not a curated record.
GGGAGGAACCAUCCGGGAGCGGGGCGGGGAGGGCAGAUUGAGGGAGCAGAAGAAGCAGGGUCAGGACCAGGACCGCGGGGGUUCGGAAGCCUGGCAACCGGCUGACCACAAGCACGAUGGGACCGGGAGGGGGGCUCUACAAGGGUAGCCUGGAGGCUGCAGUGGGGGCUGGCGGCUUGCACAGGAGCGACCCCCCCCCUUUUAGUGGACUCUGCGGCAGGCCGGCGGAUCCCGCCAAAUCCCACUUCCCCAACUCCCCAUCCCAGCCUUUGUCACCCCAGUUGUGAUCUGGGGCCUGGAAGCGGAGAUCCAGGGCACUGGGUAUUGCCAGACCGGAUCUCAGAACGCAUUCAGGAACCAGACGGCUCCGGACAGAGAUCUGCCCUUCGCCAACUCUGCUACUCCGGACCUCUUGGGAUCGCGCUCCUUGGGCCCUGGACCCCAUGGCGGAUAGGAAACUGGUGGUGGUUUUUGGAGCCACAGGGGCCCAAGGUGGCUCAGUGGCACGCACAUUGCUGGAAGAUGGGACAUUCAGGGUUCGAGUGGUAACAAGGAAUCCUGAGCAGAGAGCAGCCAAAGAGCUGAAGCUGCGGGGCGCUGAAGUCAUGCGAGGAGAUCAGGACGACGAGGCUAGCAUGGAGCUGGCACUGACGGGAGCUCAUGCCGCCUUCAUUGUGACCAACUACUGGGAGAAGUGCAGCCGGGAGCGGGAAGUCGAGCAGGGCAAGCUUCUAGCAGAUCUAGCCAAGCGCCUGGGCCUCCAUUAUGUUGUCUACAGUGGCCUGGAGAACAUCAGCAAGCUGACGGCGGGAAGGUUGGCAGCAGGCCACUUUGAUGGCAAAGGGGAGGUGGAGGAGUAUUUCCGAGACAUUGGUGUUCCCAUGACCAGUGUGCGGCUGCCUUGCUAUUUUGAGAACCUCCUUUCCUAUUUCCUGCCCCAGAAAGCUGCAGAUGGAGAGAGUUACUUGCUGGACUUGCCCAUGGGUGAUGUCCCCAUGGAUGGAAUGGCAGUGAGUGACCUGGGUCCCGUGGUGCUCAGCUUGCUGAAGAAGCCAGAAGAGUAUGUAGGGCGGAACAUCGGCCUCAGCACCUGCAGGCACACUGCAGAGGAGUAUGCUGCCCUGCUGACCAGACACACUGGCAAGACUGUACAUCAUGCAAAGACAACUCCUGAGCAAUAUGAGAAGCUUGGCUUCCCAGGGGCCCGAGACUUGGCCAACAUGUUCCGUUUCUAUGCCCUGAAACCCGACCGCAACAUUGAUCUAACCCUGCAACUCAACCCCAAGGCACAAACGCUGGACCAGUGGUUAGCACAGCACAGAGAGGACUUUGCUCAGCUGUGAUCCUGAAGCCCUCAGCCGGGGACUAAGAGAUAGUUUCCCAGAAGAAAAGGCCUCUUGUUUGUGGGAAGUGAGCUGGAGCGGCAGAUGCAUGAAAAUGGGCCUUGAUAGUAUGGAAGUACUGGUAGGCGGCACCAAGUAGGCACAAGGGCUCAUCUGCUAUCACCUCAGCCCCGAGAAGAGCGCUGAGCAGUGUAUACACACACACACACAGUCCACAGGGGAUCAGGUAAAGCAGAGUCUCAGCCAGCCACCAGCAGCCUUUGACACCGGCAGGCAGGGCCAGAGGCACUGAGGCCACCCAUGCAUUCGUUCUGAAUGAGGACAGAAGACUGAUGUAGAAGUCCUGGACCCUUGUCUUUUUCCUCUCUUCACCAGAACUCUGGCCAGGCACGUUCACCUGUACCUGUGUGACAUGUACACGUGCACACAACACAUCCAUACAGAAAGAACAAAUGGAACGUGGCAGAGCUGUGGACCACUGGAGAUGAGGUGAUGUUGCCUGUGUCUAAGACCAACAUUAUGGGUCAGCUUACCUCUAAGCCCUUCACAGGGAGCAACAAAGGCCCAGAAAGCCCAAACACCAGCUGAGAUUUCAUGACACGUCUGUGAACUUCCACCAGUGUAUGGGUUUGUCUAACCACUGGCACACUGUCUUUUUACUGUCCUUCCCUGACAUCAGACUCGGAGCAGGAAAAGGAGCAGUGAUCCCAUCAUGCAUUCUACCAGAGACUCUUGACUGAGGCAUCUCCUUGACAACUCACUGUGCCACACCUUAAAAUAUGGGGUAAACAGACAAGUUAUACUGUCUGUCUUGAGGCAACUUUUUUGAGACAGUUUCUCUGUGGAGCCCUGGCUAUUCUGGAACUUGCUCUGUAGCCCAGGCUGGCCUUAAGCUGAGAGAUCCACCUGCCUCUGCCUCCCAGUGCUGGGACUAAAGGUGUGAGCCGCCACCACCCUGACGAAGAACUUAUUUAGUGGGAAGGCCACACAAAGAAAGAGAGAGAGAGAGAGAGAAAGAAAAGCAAAACUUACAGAGCCCAGGCUGCAGAGAACAGAUGGAAAUAAGCAGCCUGGCUUAUUUCCGAGUCUGAGGUUAGGGUUCUGAGUGACAUUAAGAGGCAGAGCACGAGUGCAAACCCUGGGCUUCACCCCCAGCACCAAAAAGAUGAAAAGUUUAAGGAGACCAAUCAGGACAGGACUGGCCUCAGGAGGAAAUACCUAUGCUGAGGUCUGUGGGGAAGGGCAGGGGCCUUCCCAGCAGAGUAAAGGGAGAAGACAGUAACAAGCGUGGACUUCUGAGCCCACGGGGUCAGGAGACCCACAGGCUGUCUCUACGUGCUGCUCUACGAUGCUCCACCUAAGCCUGGGAAGGCCUGCCAGAAUCAAGGUCCAGAGUGGACACAGAGUACCAGCCAGCUCCUCACUAGAGUGGCAGGAUCAGGGCCAUGCGCUGCCCACCCCGGGUGUUUACUUAUCUGGUUCCCACCCCCUGGGCUGCUGUGAAGACACGGUCAACCCACUUGUGCCUAGCACUUCAAGUACCUUGUGUUUUGUCUGCCACACCAAGGCAAAACCCUGCUAGCCUGCACGUGCCCUUCAGUUUGGCUUGUGUUCCUCUGAAUGGUGGCCUCCACUGCAGAGCACAGUGGGAGCCUCCCAAGUUCCCGAUGAAGCUGAGUGGAGAGCCACACACGGUGCUCGUUAGGUGGUUCUGUGUGUGACAAAUUAUCUGCACUGCACACAAAACACCUUGUGUUACAAACCAUUUCACCAAAUGAGACAGUCAUGUCCACCUCUUCCGUUUCCCAUCUCCUGCCAUAGCUAAAUGUCUCGAGGCACAGGCUCUUCCUUUACAUACAACAGCAGACCUUGGACUGUAUUCUGUUUGGCCACAAACAGCGCAGGAAACCUCCUGUAAUCCCAGGAGGCAAGGUGAUGAGGACCCAAACAGAGGGGACAACCAGUCCUCCAGUUCUCAUGUAGCCUGUGGCCUUAAAUUCACUAUGUUGCUAAGACUGGCAUUGAAUUUCUGCCUCCAUCUCCCAUAUGAUGCUCCAGUUCCAGCUCAGAGGCUACAAAGUCUAAAAACAUGCCUCGGGAGCAGUGUGUAGAAAUAAGCCCACCUAGGCCUGGAGGUGAGACUUCAUUCUAUAGAUGUUGCCUAGCCACCUUUUAUCCUCCUAAGAGUCCUCAACGAGUCAGUAAUGAUGCCCUAGCCAAAGACCCAUCUACCUCUCCCAAGUCCCUUCCUAGCUCUGAGACCUGGCAGACUUCUUCAGAAAGAAACCCCUGAGAACAGUGUCUCCCCGACUACUGUUGCAGGCCAGUGUUCAGCUGCCCCCCCAUCUCUUCCCUACCAUCUCUUCCCUGCCCAGCCCAGUGAAUCCUUCCAUACCUCUCUCUGCUUAUCUGAAAAGCCAUUAAGGCUCUGCUGGAAGCCUGGACUAGUUAAAGUACACUAAGCAAAUGUGUGUGUGUGUGUGUGUUUUAAAGACAGAGUUUUGGUGUGUAACCCUAGCUGGUCUGGAAUUUGCUAAGUAGACCUGGCUAGCCUCAAGUUCACAGAUCUGCUUGCCUCUGCCUCUAAGUUCUGGGAUUAAAGGCACGUACCCCCAUACUCAGACAGCAAUAAGCAAAAACCAACCUGCGGAUACUGGGUCUCUCCUUCCACAUAUGGGUCCCAGGGAUUGAAUUCAGUUCAUUGGGCUUGUUGGCAAGCACUUUUACCCAGUCAUCCUGCCAGGUUCAGGAAGUUUAAUAUGGGGGACUGGUGAGACGCCUCAUCAGUUAGGAGCAUUUGCUGCUCUUGUAGAGGACCUGAGUUUGGUUCCUAGCGCCCACAUGGUGGCUACCAACCAUUCCUUGUCCUUUCACUUCCAGAAGACACGACACCCUCUUCUGUCUCUGGGCACUGCACGCAGGUGGUACGUAGAUAUGUGUGGACAAAACUCCCAUAUGCAUUUUUUUAAUGUAACAGGGAAAUGUAGCUAAGGGAACAGCUCAGUAGAACACUUGCCUAGCAUGCCUGAGGUCCUGGGUUCAAUACCAGGAACCACCUUUUAAAAAAAAGGAGUUCCAGCUUGGACUACAUAGCAAAACAAAGACUGAAAAACAGAGAAAUCAUGGAAGGACACAGUGAUCACAUGCACAUUUCUCAGCUGAGCUCUCUAAUCUACUAGGUUCAAGAGUUUGCACACAGAGGAACACUGUCUCCUGGCAAGGGCCUGUUCUGGAAAUGGGAGUAGGGGAUCUCCGGUCAGGGCACUAGGGCCACCUUGCUGGCAUCAGGAAGCUGAACUAGCAGACGCUGCUAGCUGACUUCUGUUGCCUCUGCUGGGCCACCUGUAGAAGCUAGUUUGAACUCUCAAAGAAGAAAUGACCACAGUUUUGGUUUUAAAUAUCUUUUGUAGUAGAUCAUCUUAUUUACAUUGAUACAGAAUCACUUUACAUUCUUAAAUCAGACACUAAGAAAUGCUUUACUUUUGUAAAUUAUAAAGGAAAAGAAAGAAACUACAGAGAAAGUGUUCUUUAUUAGCCUGUCUUACACCAGCUCCAAGACCUUGG